RNAcentral lists this ribosomal RNA (429 nucleotides) under uncultured bacterium. RNAcentral describes it as "bacterial SSU rRNA". It matches the Rfam family "Bacterial small subunit ribosomal RNA", at positions 355 to 775 of the family's 1533-position model. The record is from RNAcentral.
UGAGGAAUCUUGCGCAAUGGGGGAAACCCUGACGCAGCAACGCCGCGUGAGUGAGGAAGGUCUUCGGGUCGUAAAGCUCUGUCAGGCGGGGGGAAAUGCAUGGAGGUGAACAGCCGCCAUGCUUGACGGUACCGCCGGAGGAGGCACCGGCUAACUCCGUGCCAGCAGCCGCGGUAAUACGGGGGGUGCAAGCGUGGUUCGGAAUCAUUGGGCGUAAAGAGCGUGUAGGCGGCUUGGUAAGUCAGAUGUGAAAGCCCUGGGCUCAACCCGGGAAGUGCAUUUGAAACUGCCAGGCUCGAGUAGGGGAGAGGGAAGUGGAAUUCCUGGUGUAGAGGUGAAAUUCGUAGAUAUCAGGAGGAACACCGGUGGCGAAGGCGACUUCCUGGCCCUAUACUGACGCUGAGACGCGAGAGCGUGGGUAGCAAACAG